UACGUAGGGUCCGAGCGUUGUCCGGAAUUAUUGGGCGUAAAGAGCUCGUAGGCGGUUUGUCGCGUCGACUGUGAAAACCUGGGGCUUAACUCUGGGCCUGCAGUCGAUACGGGCAGACUUGAGUUCGGUAGGGGAGACUGGAAUUCCUGGUGUAGCGGUGAAAUGCGCAGAUAUCAGGAGGAACACCAAUAGCGAAGGCAGCUCGCUGGGACGGUACUGACACUGAGGCGCGAAGGCGUGGGGAGCGAACGGG
This 253-nucleotide ribosomal RNA is filed under the name uncultured bacterium. RNAcentral describes it as "partial 16S ribosomal RNA". It matches the Rfam family "Bacterial small subunit ribosomal RNA", at positions 524 to 776 of the family's 1533-position model. The record is from RNAcentral.